This is a long non-coding RNA of Cucurbita maxima (winter squash), 353 nucleotides long. RefSeq lists it as uncharacterized. NCBI's taxonomy places the organism in Eukaryota, Viridiplantae, Streptophyta, Magnoliopsida, Cucurbitales, Cucurbitaceae. The record is from RefSeq and is a predicted model, not a curated record. The transcript is spliced from 2 exons.
AGAUCCUCCGCAGAAUUCCUGCAAAAGAAAGAAGUGUGAGAGAGAAGGAUUGAGAGAAAGUUCGAGAGAGAAAAUUGAAUAGCCAGAGUUUUUCAUCGGAGAGUCGCCGACGGAAUCCAUCUUCUACUAAAACCUACAUUCUGGAGUCCUUCUUGGAGUGAAGUAAGAACUCGUGUUGAGAUUUCCUCCUCUUUCGUCAAGAUCAGAAAGAAAACCCGCGAGGGAAGAUCCGCCGCUGAUUUUGGCGAGGAAAUCGGACGAAACGUCGGGAUCUAAGAACCUUUCCAAGAACGGUAAGGAUGUUACCGGACCUCUUUCCAACGCUCAUAACUCACCGUAUGACUAAGCAAAAA